Mytilus californianus (California mussel) is the source of this 1332-nucleotide long non-coding RNA. RefSeq lists it as uncharacterized. NCBI's taxonomy places the organism in Eukaryota, Metazoa, Mollusca, Bivalvia, Mytilida, Mytilidae. The transcript has 4 exons. The record is from RefSeq and is a predicted model, not a curated record.
UGAAGAUCUAACUAUGAUGUAUAAUGAAUAAUGUGAUUCUAUAUGUGUUACAAAGCUUUGUUGUGCAAUAAGAUAUUAUAAGAUUUGUUUUGUUUAGCACAGAAUUUUGAAGUGAAUUUGUGAUUUUGGACGGAAAAUUAAGGUACAACAAUAACCAGUUCGAUUAAAAAGGAAUUCCAAUAUCAGCUGAAAGUAUGGCUAGCUCUUCUGAACAACCUCCUCCAUAUUCUCCAUCGAAUCAACAACAAGGGCAACAACCAGGGCAACAAUAUAUUCAUCAAUUUGUUCAACAGAACCCACAGGGUUUCGUUCAAGCACAGCCGUCUAAAGAAGGAUUCAGUGACAUUUCCAGUGGCUAUGGGUAUACUCAGCAAUCCCAGAUGCCGCCAACAAUAAUGAACACCACAAAUACGAAUGUAGUGGUGUGCCAGCCACAAGCAGGACCAACACUCAUUAUAAAUCCUGCCCCGUACAGCUACAUGACACCAGCAAUUUUGACCUGUCUGUUUUGUUGCUGGAUUACUGGUAUUGGAGCUAUCGUUGCGGCAUCUAUGUCUCAAAGUCAAGCUAGUGAAAUGAAAUACGAUGAGGCAAGAAAGUCAUCAAACAUAGCUAGAAUCCUUAUUCUCGUGACAAUUUGUUGCGGUAUCGGCGGUUAUAUUAUUCUUUUAGCCGUAUCAGUAGCUGGCCAUGGGUAAUAAAGUUGAUUGGUAAAUGGCCCGGUGAAUCUGCUUUAAAUAACAAAUAUAUAUAUAUUAAAUAAGUUACAUACAAUUAUUGAAAGUGUUAUAUGAUCAAUUUCAUGUAAAUAGUCGAAUUGUUGAGGUUCUAUAUUAACAUGAACAUGUUCAGAAAUUUCUGUGACACUCUUUAAGGCAGGAAAUAAAACCAAGGAAAUCGUAAUUAUCAAAACAAUGUUUUGAUAUCAAUAUAGUUACACUCAAUAUUGUUUUGUCCUACAAUCAGCCAACUCAAGUUCAAAUAACAUGAAUACAACAACAAUAGUUUGCUUUAUUUGUACUUGUACUUGUAUAUAUAAGUCUUUUGUUAUCCUGUUUCUAUAUUGAGCGGAAGAUAAUUUGACUGUUCAUUUUGGAAUCCUGUUGGCGGUAUGCCAUUAACCAAUGUCGAUUCCUAUGAAAAUCAAAGACCAAAAAAAAAAAAAAAAACAAACAACGUAAAGCAUCAAAAAUAAAUUGCAGGAUAAAAACAAAUAUGCAAAUAGUCUAAAACAUACAUUGAUUCUUAUUCACUAUGACACAAGAGGAAAGCUAGACGAACCUCACUUUGGUUAUAUUUUCCAAAGCUCGUACACAAAUACCGAGGGACAUU